This 251-nucleotide ribosomal RNA is filed under the name uncultured prokaryote. RNAcentral describes it as "partial 16S rRNA". It matches the Rfam family "Bacterial small subunit ribosomal RNA", at positions 525 to 775 of the family's 1533-position model. The record is from RNAcentral.
ACAGAGGGUGCAAGCGUUAGUCGGAGUUACUGGGCGUAAAGGGCGUGUAGGCUGAUAUUCAAGUCGAUUGUGAAAUCCCUGGGCUUAACCUAGGAAUUGCAGUCGAUACUGGAUGUCUUGAGUAUGGUAGAGGAAAGUAGAAUUCUCGGUGUAGUGGUUAAAUACGUAGAUAUCGAGAAGAAUACCGGUGGCGAAGGCGGCUUUCUGGACCAAUACUGACGCUGAGGCGCGAAAGCGUGGGGAGCAAACAG